GCUGUGAACUCGAAGAGUAGGGCGGGACACGUGGUAUCCUGUCUGAAUAUGGGGGGACCAUCCUCCAAGGCUAAAUACUCCUGACUGACCGAUAGUGAACCAGUACCGUGAGGGAAAGGCGAAAAGAACCCCGGCGAGGGGAGUGAAAAAGAACCUGAAACCGUGUACGUACAAGCAGUGGGAGCCUCUUUAUGGGGUGACUGCGUACCUUUUGUAUAAUGGGUCAGCGACUUAUAUUCUGUAGCAAGGUUAACCGUAUAGGGGAGCCGAAGGGAAACCGAGUCUUAACUGGGCGUUAAGUUGCAGGGUAUAGACCCGAAACCCGGUGAUCUAGCCAUGGGCAGGUUGAAGGUUGGGUAACACUAACUGGAGGACCGAACCGACUAAUGUUGAAAAAUUAGCGGAUGACCUGUGGCUGGGGGUGAAAGGCCAAUCAAACCGGGAGAUAGCUGGUUCUCCCCGAAAGCUAUUUAGGUAGCGCCUCGUGAACUCAUCUUCGGGGGUAGAGCACUGUUUCGGCUAGGGGGCCAUCCCGGCUUACCAACCCGAUGCAAACUACGAAUACCGAAGAAUGUUAUCACGGGAGACACACGGCGGGUGCUAACGUCCGUCGUGAAGAGGGAAACAACCCAGACCGCCAGCUAAGGUCCCAAAGUCAUGGUUAAGUGGGAAACGAUGUGGGAAGGCACAGACAGCCAGGAUGUUGGCUUAGAAGCAGCCAUCAUUUAAAGAAAGCGUAAUAGCUCACUGGUCGAGUCGGCCUGCGCGGAAGAUGUAACGGGGCUAAACCAUGCACCGAAGCUGCGGCAGCGACACUAUGUGUUGUUGGGUAGGGGAGCGUUCUGUAAGCCGUUGAAGGUGUGCUGUGAGGCAUGCUGGAGGUAUCAGAAGUGCGAAUGCUGACAUAAGUAACGAUAAAGCGGGUGAAAAGCCCGCUCGCCGGAAGACCAAGGGUUCCUGUCCAACGUUAAUCGGGGCAGGGUGAGUCGACCCCUAAGGCGAGGCCGAAAGGCGUAGUCGAUGGGAAACAGGUUAAUAUUCCUGUACUUGGUGUUACUGCGAAGGGGGGACGGAGAAGGCUAUGUCAGCCGGGCGACGGUUGUCCCGGUUUAAGCAUGUAGGCGGAGGUUCCAGGUAAAUCCGGUACCUUAUUAACGCUGAGGUGUGAUGACGAGGCACUACGGUGCUGAAGUGAUAAAUGCCCUGCUUCCAGGAAAAGCCUCUAAGCAUCAGGUAACACGAAAUCGUACCCCAAACCGACACAGGUGGUCAGGUAGAGAAUACCAAGGCGCUUGAGAGAACUCGGGUGAAGGAACUAGGCAAAAUGGUGCCGUAACUUCGGGAGAAGGCACGCUGAUAUGUAGGUGAAGCCCCUGCGGGCGGAGCUGAAAUCAGUCGAAGAUACCAGCUGGCUGCAACUGUUUAUUAAAAACACAGCACUGUGCAAACACGAAAGUGGACGUAUACGGUGUGACGCCUGCCCGGUGCCGGAAGGUUAAUUGAUGGGGUUAGCGGCAACGCGAAGCUCUUGAUCGAAGCCCCGGUAAACGGCGGCCGUAACUAUAACGGUCCUAAGGUAGCGAAAUUCCUUGUCGGGUAAGUUCCGACCUGCACGAAUGGCGUAAUGAUGGCCAGGCUGUCUCCACCCGAGACUCAGUGAAAUUGAACUCGCUGUGAAGAUGCAGUGUACCCGCGGCAAGACGGAAAGACCCCGUGAACCUUUACUAUAGCUUGACACUGAACACUGGUCCUUGAUGUGUAGGAUAGGUGGGAGGCUUUGAAGCGUGGACGCCAGUCUGCGUGGAGCCAACCUUGAAAUACCACCCUUUAAUGGCUGGUGUUCUAACGUAGACCCGUAAUCCGGGUUGCGGACAGUGUCUGGUGGGUAGUUUGACUGGGGCGGUCUCCUCCCAAAGAGUAACGGAGGAGCACGAAGGUUGGCUAAUCCUGGUCGGACAUCAGGAGGUUAGUGCAAUGGCAUAAGCCAGCUUGACUGCGAGCGUGACGGCGCGAGCAGGUGCGAAAGCAGGUCAUAGUGAUCCGGUGGUUCUGAAUGGAAGGGCCAUCGCUCAACGGAUAAAAGGUACUCCGGGGAUAACAGGCUGAUACCGCCCAAGAGUUCAUAUCGACGGCGGUGUUUGGCACCUCGAUGUCGGCUCAUCACAUCCUGGGGCUGAAGUAGGUCCCAAGGGUAUGGCUGUUCGCCAUUUAAAGUGGUACGCGAGCUGGGUUUAGAACGUCGUGAGACAGUUCGGUCCCUAUCUGCCGUGGGCGCUGGAGAAUUGAGGGGGGCUGCUCCUAGUACGAGAGGACCGGAGUGGACGCAUCACUGGUGUUCGGGUUGUCAUGCCAAUGGCACUGCCCGGUAGCUAAAUGCGGAAGAGAUAAGUGCUGAAAGCAUCUAAGCACGAAACUUGCCCCGAGAUGAGUUCU
This 2433-nucleotide ribosomal RNA is filed under the name Enterobacter hormaechei subsp. steigerwaltii. Its description in RNAcentral is "bacterial LSU rRNA". It matches the Rfam family "Bacterial large subunit ribosomal RNA", at positions 396 to 2812 of the family's 2925-position model. Lineage: Bacteria; Pseudomonadati; Pseudomonadota; Gammaproteobacteria; Enterobacterales; Enterobacteriaceae. The record is from RNAcentral.